Long non-coding RNA from Carcharodon carcharias (great white shark), 211 nucleotides. RefSeq lists it as uncharacterized. The transcript has 3 exons. Lineage: Eukaryota; Metazoa; Chordata; Chondrichthyes; Lamniformes; Lamnidae. The record is from RefSeq and is a predicted model, not a curated record.
CCAGAGUCUCGGAGGUGACCAAGCUCGGGGUCCCCUGGUGGCUGGCACUGCUGUUAAUAGUUUCAGGGUCUCUGGCAGUUGAAUGUGAACACCAGCCUAAAAAACCUCUUGUGACUGCCUGCCUUGCGGCCAAUGUCAUCAAUGCCAUUGCUUCGGCCAUCGGAAUUCUCCUUUACAUCUCCGACGUGACCGAUUGGGAUUACUACCACCA